This 22-nucleotide microRNA is filed under the name Danio rerio (zebrafish). RNAcentral's name for it is "dre-miR-430i-3p". Its record names the gene dre-miR-430i-3p. The record is from miRBase by way of RNAcentral. Lineage: Eukaryota; Metazoa; Chordata; Actinopteri; Cypriniformes; Danionidae.
UAAGUGCUAUUUGUUGGCGUAG